AAUUUGGGAGCAGAGCGGGUAGUCCCCACUCUCCUGUCUGAUCCCUCCCUCUCCUCCCCGAGUUCCACCGCCCCAGGCGCACAGGUUUCCGCCAGAUGUCUUUUCUUCCUCGCAGUCUUUGCCCAAGCGUUUCCGAGAGCCAGUCCUGGACUGACCGCCUUGGAUGGGAUACCGGGGGAGGGCAGAAGGACACUUGGCUUCCUCUCCAGGAAUCUGAGCGGCCCUGAGGUCCGGGGGCGCAGGGAAUCCCCUCUGCCGCCGCCGCCGCCGUGUCUGGUCUGUACGUCUUUAGAGGGUCGAGGAAGUCACGUCGGGACAGACUGGGGCGAGUAAGGUUAAGAAAGGCUGACAUGUUUUAUGUUUUAGUGACGACGCUUAAUAGGCUGUAUAUCUGCUCUAUAUGCAGCACAUACAUACAUAGCUUUUUAAAAAACUCUUAUUUUGUGGAAUGAAAUAGCUACCCUCAGUGUACAUAGCUGUAAUUUAUCUUUGUAGCUAAGUUGCUUUCAACAGAAGAAAUACUGUUCUCCGUACCUUCACCCCCUCCUUAUUUCUUGGAAAGGGGGGGAAAAAGGUAAAUUCUCCUCAUAAUACUGCUUCUAAGCAGUUACCCUGUAAAUAGUUAAUGUGAGCUCCACGGGUCACCGAUAUAAAGUUUUCUGCCUUCUGAUGGACAAAGGAAACGGCGAUGGCCAGAAUUUGCAGGGACGCUAAAUGUCCAAAACGUCUGCCUUAAAGCAUUCCUCUCCCUGAUGCGUGGAUUAUUUUGGUUACUAGCCCUUCACAGGAGACACCGGCAAAAUAAAUUCGAAUUUUAAAGUUCA
RNAcentral lists this long non-coding RNA (824 nucleotides) under Pongo abelii (Sumatran orangutan). RNAcentral's name for it is "lincRNA". The record is from RNAcentral. Lineage: Eukaryota; Metazoa; Chordata; Mammalia; Primates; Hominidae.